This 668-nucleotide ribosomal RNA is filed under the name uncultured bacterium. Its description in RNAcentral is "bacterial SSU rRNA". It matches the Rfam family "Bacterial small subunit ribosomal RNA", at positions 139 to 821 of the family's 1533-position model. The record is from RNAcentral.
GGACAUAACGUCGGGAAACUGACGCUAAUAUCCCAUGAGGUACUUCGGUAUCAAAGCUUAGGUGGAUGAGGAUGAGCCUGCGUCUGAUUAGCUUGUUGGUGAGGUAACGGCUCACCAAGGCUGCGAUCAGUAGCUGGUCUGAGAGGACGAUCAGCCACACUGGAACUGAGACACGGUCCAGACUCCUACGGGAGGCAGCAGUGAGGAAUAUUGGUCAAUGGGGGAAACCCUGAACCAGCGACGCCGCGUGUGGGAUGAAUGGGUUCUGCCCUGUAAACCACUGUUAAGAGGGAAGAAAAGCUUCUUCAGGAAGAUGGGACUGUACCUCUUCAGAAAGGAUCGGCUAACUACGUGCCAGCAGCCGCGGUAAUACGUAGGAUCCAAGCGUUGUCCGGAAUUACUGGGUGUAAAGGGUGCGUAGGCGGGCUUGUGCGUCAGGGGUUAAAUCCCACGGCUUAACCGUGGAGCUGCCUCUGAUACGGCAAGUCUUGAGUGUGAGAGAGGAUGGUAGAAUUCCUGGUGUAGCGGUGAAAUGCGUAGAUAUCAGGAGGAAUACCAGUGGCGAAGGCGGCCAUCUGGCUCACUACUGACGCUGAGGCACGAAAGCGUGGGGAGCGAACAGGAUUAGAUACCCUGGUAGUCCACGCCCUAAACGAUGUAUGCUUGGU